ACGCCGCGUGAGCGAUGAAGGCUUUGGGUCGUAAAGCUCUGUCCUAGGGGAAGAAAAAAAUGACGGUACCCUAGGAGGAAGCCCCGGCUAACUACGUGCCAGCAGCCGCGGUAAUACGUAGGGGGCAAGCGUUAUCCGGAAUUAUUGGGCGUAAAGAGUGCGUAGGUGGCCAUAUAAGCGUGGGGUGAAAGGCAAUAGCUCAACUAUUGUAAGCCUUGCGAACUGUAUGGCUUGAGUGCAGGAGAGGAAAGUGGAAUUCCUAGUGUAGCGGUGAAAUGCGUAGAUAUUAGGAGGAACACCAGUGGCGAAGGCGACUUUCUGGACUGUAACUGACACUGAGGCACGAAAGCGUGGGGAGCAACAGGAUUAGAUACCCUGGGUAGUCCACGCCGUAAACGAUGACACUAGGUGUCGGGGUCGCAAGACUUCGGUGCCGCA
Molecule: ribosomal RNA, 438 nt
Filed under: uncultured bacterium
Lineage: Bacteria
Description: bacterial SSU rRNA
Rfam family: Bacterial small subunit ribosomal RNA
Source: RNAcentral